GCAUAUCAAUAAGCGGAGGAAAAGAAACCAACAGGGAUUGCCUUAGUUAACGGCGAGUGAAGCGGCAAAAGCUCAAAUUUGAAAAUCUGGCACCUUCGGUGUCCGAGUUGUAAUUUGAAGAAGGUAACUUUGGAGUUGGCUCUUGUCUAUGUUCCUUGGAACAGGACGUCACAGAGGGUGAGAAUCCCGUGCGAUGAGAUGCCCAAUUCUAUGUAAAGUGCUUUCGAAGAGUCGAGUUGUUUGGGAAUGCAGCUCUAAGUGGGUGGUAAAUUCCAUCUAAAGCUAAAUAUUGGCGAGAGACCGAUAGCGAACAAGUACAGUGAUGGAAAGAUGAAAAGAACUUUGAAAAGAGAGUGAAAAAGUACGUGAAAUUGUUGAAAGGGAAGGGCUUGAGAUCAGACUUGGUAUUUUGCGAUCCUUUCCUUCUUGGUUGGGUUCCUCGCAGCUUACUGGGCCAGCAUCGGUUUGGAUGGUAGGAUAAUGACUAAGGAAUGUGGCUCUACUUCGGUGGAGUGUUAUAGCCUUGGUUGAUACUGCCUGUCUAGACCGAGGACUGCGUCUUUUGACUAGGAUGUUGGCAUAAUGAUCUUAAGCCACCCGUCUUGAAACACGGACCAAGGAGUCUAACGUCUAUGCGAGUGUUUGGGUGUAAAACCCGUACGCGUAAUGAAAGUGAACGUAGGUGAGAGCUCUUAAGAGUGCAUCAUCGACCGAUCCUGAUGUCUUCGGAUGGAUUUGAGUAAGAGCAUAGCUGUUGGGACCCGAAAGAUGGUGAACUAUGCCUGAAUAGGGUGAAGCCAGAGGAAACUCUGGUGGAGGCUCGUAGCGGUUUCUGACGUGCAAAUCGAUUCGUCGAAAUUUGGGGUA
This 867-nucleotide ribosomal RNA is filed under the name Debaryomyces hansenii. Its description in RNAcentral is "LSU rRNA". It matches the Rfam family "Eukaryotic large subunit ribosomal RNA", at positions 38 to 919 of the family's 3401-position model. Lineage: Eukaryota; Fungi; Ascomycota; Pichiomycetes; Serinales; Debaryomycetaceae. The record is from RNAcentral.